This 253-nucleotide ribosomal RNA is filed under the name uncultured bacterium. Its description in RNAcentral is "partial 16S ribosomal RNA". It matches the Rfam family "Bacterial small subunit ribosomal RNA", at positions 524 to 776 of the family's 1533-position model. The record is from RNAcentral.
UACGAAGGGGGCUAGCGUUGCUCGGAAUCACUGGGCGUAAAGGGUGCGUAGGCGGUUUUUUAAGUCAGGGGUGAAAUCCUGGAGCUCAACUCCAGAACUGCCUUUGAUACUGAGGAUCUUGAGUUCGGGAGAGGUGAGUGGAACUGCGAGUGUAGAGGUGAAAUUCGUAGAUAUUCGCAAGAACACCAGUGGCGAAGGCGGCUCACUGGCCCGAUACUGACGCUGAGGCACGAAAGCGUGGGGAGCAAACAGG